This 1327-nucleotide ribosomal RNA is filed under the name Corynebacterium amycolatum. RNAcentral describes it as "16S ribosomal RNA". It matches the Rfam family "Bacterial small subunit ribosomal RNA", at positions 91 to 1434 of the family's 1533-position model. Lineage: Bacteria; Bacillati; Actinomycetota; Actinomycetes; Mycobacteriales; Corynebacteriaceae. The record is from RNAcentral.
ACGAGUGGCGAACGGGUGAGUAACACGUGGGUGACCUGCCCUGCACUUCGGGAUAAGCCUGGGAAACUGGGUCUAAUACCGGAUAGGACCGCACCGUGAGGGUGUGGUGGAAAGUUUUUUCGGUGUGGGAUGGGCCCGCGGCCUAUCAGCUUGUUGGUGGGGUAAUGGCCUACCAAGGCGGCGACGGGUAGCCGGCCUGAGAGGGUGGACGGCCACAUUGGGACUGAGACACGGCCCAGACUCCUACGGGAGGCAGCAGUGGGGAAUAUUGCACAAUGGGCGGAAGCCUGAUGCAGCGACGCCGCGUGGGGGAUGACGGCCUUCGGGUUGUAAACUCCUUUCACCAUCGACGAAGGGUUUCUGACGGUAGAUGGAGAAGAAGCACCGGCUAACUACGUGCCAGCAGCCGCGGUAAUACGUAGGGUGCGAGCGUUGUCCGGAAUUACUGGGCGUAAAGAGCUCGUAGGUGGUUUGUCGCGUCGUCUGUGAAAUUCCGGGGCUUAACUCCGGGCGUGCAGGCGAUACGGGCAUAACUUGAGUACUGUAGGGGAGACUGGAAUUCCUGGGUAGCGGUGAAAUGCGCAGAUAUCAGGAGGAACACCGGUGGCGAAGGCGGGUCUCUGGGCAGUAACUGACGCUGAGGAGCGAAAGCAUGGGGAGCGAACAGGAUUAGAUACCCUGGUAGUCCAUGCCGUAAACGGUGGGCGCUAGGUGUGGGUUUCCUUCCACGGGAUCCGUGCCGUAGCUAACGCAUUAAGCGCCCCGCCUGGGGAGUACGGCCGCAAGGCUAAAACUCAAAGGAAUUGACGGGGGCCCGCACAAGCGGCGGAGCAUGUGGAUUAAUUCGAUGCAACGCGAAGAACCUUACCUGGGCUUGACAUAUACAGGAUCGCGCCAGAGAUGGUGUUUCCCUUGUGGCUUGUAUACAGGUGGUGCAUGGUUGUCGUCAGCUCGUGUCGUGAGAUGUUGGGUUAAGUCCCGCAACGAGCGCAACCCUUGUCUUAUGUUGCCAGCACGUUGUGGUGGGGACUCGUAAGAAACUGCCGGGGUUAACUCGGAGGAAGGUGGGGAUGACGUCAAAUCAUCAUGCCCCUUAUGUCCAGGGCUUCACACAUGCUACAAUGGUCGGUACAGUGGGUUGCCAGUCCGUGAGGGCGAGCUAAUCCCGCAAAGCCGGUCUCAGUUCGGAUCGGGGUCUGCAACUCGACCCCGUGAAGUCGGAGUCGCUAGUAAUCGCAGAUCAGCAACGCUGCGGUGAAUACGUUCCCGGGCCUUGUACACACCGCCCGUCACGUCAUGAAAGUCGGUAACACCCGAAGCCAGUGGC